ACGAAGGGGGCUAGCGUUGUUCGGAUUUACUGGGCGUAAAGCGCACGUAGGCGGUUUGUUAAGUCAGAGGUGAAAUCCCGGAGCUCAACUCCGGAACUGCCUUUGAUACUGGCAAGCUAGAGUCCGGAAGAGGUGAGUGGAACUCCUAGUGUAGAGGUGGAAUUCGUAGAGAUCGGGAGGAACAUCAGUGGCGAAGGCGGCCAUCUGGGACAACACUGACGCUGAAGCACGAAAGCGUGGGGAGCAAACAGGA
RNAcentral lists this ribosomal RNA (253 nucleotides) under uncultured prokaryote. RNAcentral's name for it is "partial 16S ribosomal RNA". It matches the Rfam family "Bacterial small subunit ribosomal RNA", at positions 525 to 777 of the family's 1533-position model. The record is from RNAcentral.